RNAcentral lists this transfer RNA (68 nucleotides) under Curculionidae sp. 3 AH-2016. RNAcentral describes it as "tRNA-His". The record is from RNAcentral. Lineage: Eukaryota; Metazoa; Arthropoda; Insecta; Coleoptera; Curculionidae.
AUUUAGGUAGUUUAAUUAAAAUUUUAAUUUGUGGAAUUAAAGAAAUGGGUAGAUGACCAUCCUAAAUA